ACAAGCGGUGGAUGAUGUGGAUUAAUUCGAUGCAACGCGAAAACCUUACCACCUUGACAUGGCAGGAAUCCUGAAGAGAUUGGGAGUGCUCGAAAGGGAACCUGCACACAGGUGCUGCAUGGCUGUCGUCAGCUCGUGUCGUGAGAUGUUGGGUUAAGUCCCGCAACGAGCGCAACCCUUGCCAUUAGUUGCUACGAAAGGGCACUCUAAUGGGACUGCCGGUGACAAACCGGAGGAAGGUGGGGAUGACGUCAAGUCCUCAUGGCCCUUAUAGGUGGGGCUACACACGUCAUACAAUGGCCGGUACAGAGGGUAGCCAACCCGCGAGGGGGAGCUAAUCCCACAAAGCCGAUCGUAGUCCGGAUCGCAGUCUGCAACUCGACUGCGUGAAGUCGGAAUCGCUAGUAAUCGUGGAUCAGCAUGUCACGGUGAAUACGUUCCCGGGUCUU
Molecule: ribosomal RNA, 449 nt
Filed under: uncultured Allobrachymonas sp.
Lineage: Bacteria; Pseudomonadati; Pseudomonadota; Betaproteobacteria; Burkholderiales; Comamonadaceae
Description: bacterial SSU rRNA
Rfam family: Bacterial small subunit ribosomal RNA
Source: RNAcentral